UACGAAAGGUGCAAGCGUUACUCGGAAUCACUGGGCGUAAAGCGCGCGUAGGCGGACUCGUAGGUCAAUUGUGAAAUCCCGGGGCUCAACCUCGGAACUGCCUUGAUACAGCACGUCUCGAGUCCGGAAGAGGUGGGUGGAAUUCCUAGUGUAGAGGUGAAAUUCGUAGAUAUUAGGAAGAACACCGGUGGCGAAGGCGGCCCACUGGUCCGGUACUGACGCUGAGGUGCGAAAGCGUGGGGAGC
Molecule: ribosomal RNA, 245 nt
Filed under: uncultured bacterium
Lineage: Bacteria
Description: partial 16S ribosomal RNA
Rfam family: Bacterial small subunit ribosomal RNA
Source: RNAcentral